CUGGAGUUAUAAAGCUUUAAAUAGGGUACCCCCUAAAUGGGCAAGGAUUGGCAAGAUUUGACUUGUGCCUUAAGAGGUUAAUUAAUGAGAAGCUUGGAAUGAUCCACAGUGCAGUUAAGUUUAACAUUCAGGAUUUAAAUUUAGGGACAAUCCAGGUGAGGUUUUGUUUAACCCUCUGGGGUCGAGAGCUCCGCCGGCGGAGCUCGACAAGAUUUCGUUGCUAUUUGGAUGAAUAACUUUGCAAGCUUUUAUCAUACAGACACAACAAAGACAUUGACAUAAACCUUAGAAUCGUGGCAUUCCGAUGUGUCAAUUGACAAAAUAAUAUGAAUUGUUUUAAGCUAUUUAAAAUUAGAUCAAACAGACCAUUGCCAUGUGUUAAGUCUUUCUCAUUAAUAUGUGAUUUUCGCUCGGCAGUAAGUACGCCCAGACCACAUUCACAAGAUAAUGACAUGCUAAUUGCUAUCGAUGGCAGGGGAGGGGCGAUGCGUUCGAUGUGCGAGAGCGCCUACUGUAAACAAGGAUAAAAUGUCAUACAGAAGCAUAGCCCACGUCUUCUCGGGCAAUCCUUACAUUUCAUUUCGGAAAAUGGCACGAAUGACUGGACUGGAGGUUCUUCAUGCUUUGUGGGAGAGCGACCAUGAAGACGCGAACAACUCAUCAGGUCCGGACACUGAAGCUGACACUGAUGAAGAACGAUGUCAUUUCGAACUGCGAACUGAUCCAGCUGAGGAUCAACUUCAUGAAGAUGCUGAUCAGGUAACAUUAUGGUCAUGUGCCUGUGCCUACAGCCUCACAGACUCUGGAUGCCAGCAAGGUGGCUUCGAUUGGUCGCAAGACAUGCAUACUCUGCAGGACGGACUUCGGGAAAAAACAGAACACUCCGUGGAAGUGCAAGGAAUGUGAUGUCCCCCUGUGCUUACAGCCAGACAGGAACUGUUUUGCAAAAUGGCACUUGCAACUUUGAAAGAUUAUACACAAAAUAUAUAAAAUAAUGGUGUAUAUUGUGUAGAUGCUCUUUUUAAUGCUCUUUUUACAUUAAGCACUUUUUAUAUUCAUUGGCUUUUGUGUUUGUUGUUUUGUAAGGCACUUGUGGCAACCAUUCUGGAGUCAAAUUGUGUGCGUGAAGCAGAAAUAAUGGUUUAUAUUGUGUAAAUGCUCUUUUUAUAUUAUGCACUUUGCCUAAUAAAGUUGAUUCUGAUUCUGAAAUAA
This is a long non-coding RNA of Anguilla anguilla (European eel), 1212 nucleotides long. RefSeq lists it as uncharacterized. NCBI's taxonomy places the organism in Eukaryota, Metazoa, Chordata, Actinopteri, Anguilliformes, Anguillidae. The record is from RefSeq and is a predicted model, not a curated record. The transcript has 2 exons.